AUGGCGGAGGCGGCGCGGCCGCGGCCGACGCGCGUCGUGGAGGCUCUGCGCGGCAGGAUCGUCCAGGCGGUGAAGGAGAACCGCGUCACGAUCAUCGUGGGGGGCACCGGAUGCGGAAAGAGCUCCAUGAUUCCCCAAUUCCUCCUAGAAGAAAAUCUGGAUCCCAUUAUGUGCACACUGCCUAGGAGGUUUGCGGUGGUGGCCCUUGCUCAAAUGGUGGCUCAUUCUCGCGAUUGGGAGCUAGGAGAAGAGGUUGGAUAUCAUAUAGGCCACUCGAAUAUGAGCAAUCUCAUCUCGACAAGGUCAAAAAUUGUCUUCAAAACAGCUGGUGUUGUGUUGGAGCAAAUGCGUCAUAAGAGCUUUGCUGCAUUGCAAUAUAAGGUUAUCAUUCUUGAUGAGAUUCAUGAAAGGUCUGUGGAAUCUGAUCUUGUCCUUGCUUAUGUCAAGCAGUUUAUGAUGGCGACGAAUGACUCAAGGCUAGUAUUGAUGUCUGCUACCAUUGAUAGCACACAAUAUGUUGAGUACUUUAAAGAUAUUGGAAAGGUUGAACUGAUUACCAUCCCGAGCAGUUCAUGCUCUAACUUCCAGAGAAAAGUCCAAUAUCUUGAGCAGAUUGUUGAUAUUCUGAAGAUGGAUUCUGAAACUGAAUCACCCCGGACGAAGUAUUGCCCUGGACUAGAUUGCAAGGCAGAAGCUUAUCUUAGUCCUGACGUGUAUCAACUUAUCAACAAGUUAUUGUUGCACAUACAUGAAAAUGAACAAGACACUGGAAAGGGUAUUUUGGUUUUUCUUCCUACAUACUAUGCAUUGGAGCAGCAAUGGGAUGUGUUGUCUGGUUGUUCAAUUUUCAAGGUACAUAUUCUUCAUCGCAGCAUUGACACUGAUGAAGCUCUUGAAACUAUGAAGGCCUCAAAGUCUUGCCGAAAGGUUAUACUGGCGACAAACAUGGCUGAAUCGUCUGUCACUAUUCCAGGAGUUGCUUAUGUUAUUGAUUCCUGUAGAUCAUUGCAAGUCUACUGGAAUCCAGUCAGGAGAAUUGACUCAGUUAAGCUUGUAUGGAUUUCCAAGUCCCAGGCUGAGCAGCGGAAAGGCAGGACAGGCCGGACCUGUGAUGGUCAAAUUUUUCGCUUGGUAACAGAGCCAUUUUACAACACCUUUCCUGAUCAUGAAAGCCCUGCCAUUUUAAGUUUAUCCAUAAGAGAGCAAGCACUCAUGAUAUGUUGUGCAGCGUCCAUAGCUAUGAAUGACCCCACCGUCCUGCAAAAAACUCUCAAUCCACCAGAGUCUGCUGUUAUUAAAGAUGCACUAGAGACUCUUGUUCAAAUUGAUGCGGUUGAGCCAGCUUUGAAUGGAGGGUAUCAGCCCAGUUUUUAUGGCUAUUUGCUCAAUAGUUUGCCAUUAUCGUUCCAUGCUUCUGUUCUUACCCUGAAAUUUGGUGAGAUGGGGUAUCUCCAUGAAGGAAUCCUGAUAGGCAUUAUGUUGGACAUCCAACCACUUCCUAUACUGCAGCCUUUUGGUGAUCAAGCAUUGCGCAAGAAGAUUAGAGACAAUUACUUUGACGAGGGUACUUCUCAACAAAUUGGCAAGAAGGAAGCUACACUCAUCGGAAAUCUCCGGGCAUUUCAAUUUUGGCAGUGUAUGUUUAAGGAUAAGUUUCGUCUGGAGUACCUGAUAAAUAUGGCCAAGAUCGAUGCAUAUGGGCCCUUGAUCUUGAAAAAUGAACACGACUGGUGUAGAUUUCACAAUCUCGUGCCGAAAGCACUCAACAACAUCUCUGAAAUCUAUGAUGAUAUUAUGAGCACACUGCACCGCUUUAGGCCUCAUUUUCUUCGGAAAAUCAGUCCUCCAAAGUACCUUCAGACCUCUGAAUUCCACCAUGCAUGUCGUGACCCUGAAUUGCCGGAGCCAGAGCAUAUGCCUUCAUUCUCGUUGGAAGCUGAUAUUUCUCAUUUAGAUUCACAGCGGAGGUGUGCUUCACACCCUUAUAUUUCCGCAACUGAUUUUGGAGCCACUGACAUUGUUAAUGACCUGAAGAAGGCUAUCAAAGAGAUGAAGACACAACUUGCAGACGAACAAGUUGCUGGUAAUGCUCAACCAGCCCUUGGAGGUGAGAAGUGGGUGGAGGAUGUUGACAACACUUUUGAGGAAUACAAAGGCCCUUUUAACAAUUCGGCAGAUGACCCCAAACCAGCAUGCAAGUUCUUCCUCACAUUAAAGGGUUGUAUAAAGGGCAGCUCUUGUUCAUUUCCACAUGAUUGUGACUCUUUGAUCUCUUCAUCAGUUGCAUCUAAAAUAAACCCAGAAGAACUACCCUGGCGUGCUGACAUAGGUUGGACAAAGUUGCUGACGGGAGGUGAAAAUGGUCACAUUCUUGCCGUGAAUGACAAAAAUCUGAAGUUUUCUCGUGAACUUCGUAAGAUAGUUGCCCGCACACCUGAUCUGCAUUCGGCUGAGCAUAAUUCAGUUGCAAACAACCUCAGCAUAGUCCUGAAUGUCGCUGAUCCUUCUCAUCUAACUAUUGGAGGUGAACAUGAGCUACCAGUUCCUUGGACGAAAUUACAGCGAAUUAUUUUGUUAGAUGAUCAUGGUUCUGGUGAAGCAAUCAACCACCAACUAUUGCAGAAGUUCUUUGAGUAUAUUACCAUCAAGAUCUUGCUAGAAACAUUAUCUGGUUUGCAGGUCAUCGUGAUCAUGAAUAACACAAAAUUUGUUAAGAUACAGGUGGAAAAAAUGGCAAGAGAAUGUUUCUUCUUUCUGGGUGAAUCAUUCCUAUUAAAUGGAGUGCCUCUUGGAUGGUUUCCCUGCAUCCGUCAACAAGAUGGGCGAGUAGCAGGACCAGUUGCUUACGUUUUCAUCAUGCAUCCUCCAUCCCCACGGCGAUUUUGCGACACAAGAGAAUUGAGCGCCAAGUCCUCUGCAGAGACUAGUUAG
This 2931-nucleotide ribosomal RNA is filed under the name Triticum aestivum (bread wheat). RNAcentral's name for it is "partial small subunit ribosomal RNA". The record is from RNAcentral. Lineage: Eukaryota; Viridiplantae; Streptophyta; Magnoliopsida; Poales; Poaceae.